This 195-nucleotide ribosomal RNA is filed under the name uncultured Bacillus sp. RNAcentral describes it as "partial 16S ribosomal RNA". It matches the Rfam family "Bacterial small subunit ribosomal RNA", at positions 1189 to 1382 of the family's 1533-position model. The record is from RNAcentral. Lineage: Bacteria; Bacillati; Bacillota; Bacilli; Caryophanales; Bacillaceae.
UACAUCAUGGCCCCUUAUGUUCUGGGCUACACACGUGCUACAAUGGCCGGUACAGACGGACGCAAAGCCGCGAGGUGGAGCAAAUCCUAAAAAGCCGGUCUCAGUUCGGAUUGCAGGCUGCAAUUCGCCUGCAUGAAGUCGGAAUCGCUAGUAAUCGCAGGUCAGCAUACUGCGGUGAAUACGUUCCCGGGCCUU